UGUAUGCUCCCUCCGUCCGAAAGUACUUGUCAUCAAAAUGGACAAAAGGGGAUGUAUCUAGAGCUAAAAUACAUCUAGAUACAUCCCCUUUUAUUCAUUUUGAUGAAAAGUAUUUCCGGACAGAGGGAGUGGUAU
Non-coding RNA from Triticum aestivum (bread wheat), 135 nucleotides. The record is from Rfam. NCBI's taxonomy places the organism in Eukaryota, Viridiplantae, Streptophyta, Magnoliopsida, Poales, Poaceae.